GUUGAACGCUGGCGGCAUGCCUUACACAUGCAAGUCGAACGGCAGCACGGGUGCUUGCUCCUGGUGGCGAGUGGCGAACGUGAGAGUAAUACAUCGGGACAUGUCCUGUAGUGGGGGAUAGCCCGGCGAAAGCCGGAUUAAUACCGCAUACGAUCUACGGAUGACAGCGGGGGACCUUCGGGCCGCGCGCUCUAGGGUUGGGCGAUGGCUGAUUAGCUAGUUGGUGGGGUAGAGGCCUACCAAGGCGACGAUCAGUAGCUGGUCUGAGAGGACGACCAGCCACACUGGGACUGAGACACGGCCCAGACUCCUACGGGAGGCAGCAGUGGGGAAUUUUGGACAAUGGGCGAAAGCCUGAUCCAGCAAUGCCGCGUGUGUGAAGAAGGCCUUCGGGUUGUAAAGCACUUUUGUCCGGAAAGAAAUCCUUGGCUCUAAUACAGUCGGGGGAUGACGGUACCGGAAGAAUAAGCACCGGCUAACUACGUG
Molecule: ribosomal RNA, 486 nt
Filed under: uncultured bacterium
Lineage: Bacteria
Description: partial 16S ribosomal RNA
Rfam family: Bacterial small subunit ribosomal RNA
Source: RNAcentral